MicroRNA precursor from Monodelphis domestica (gray short-tailed opossum), 59 nucleotides. It matches the Rfam family "mir-7360 microRNA precursor family". The record is from Rfam. NCBI's taxonomy places the organism in Eukaryota, Metazoa, Chordata, Mammalia, Didelphimorphia, Didelphidae.
UCCAUUCUGUAUGUAUAAUAUUUUAAUAAAAAAUUGAAUAUUGUAUUCCAGAAUGGUGU